GCAGCAGUGGGGAUAUUGCACAAUGGGGGAAACCCUGAUGCAGCCAUGCCGCGUGUGUGAAGAAGGCCUUCGGGUUGUAAAGCACUUUCAGUAGGGAGGAAAGGUAGCAGCUUAAUACGCUGUUGCUGUGACGUUACCUACAGAAGAAGGACCGGCUAACUCCGUGCCAGCAGCCGCGGUAAUACGGAGGGUCCGAGCGUUAAUCGGAAUUACUGGGCGUAAAGCGUGCGCAGGCGGUUUGUUAAGCGAGAUGUGAAAGCCCCGGGCUCAACCUGGGAAUUGCAUUUCGAACUGGCGAACUAGAGUCUUGUAGAGGGGGGUAGAAUUCCAGGUGUAGCGGUGAAAUGCGUAGAGAUCUGGAGGAAUACCGGUGGCGAAGGCGGCCCCCUGGACAAAGACUGACGCUCAGGCACGAAAGCGUGGGGAGCAAACAGGAUUAGAUACCCUGGUAGUCCACGCCGUAAACGAUGUCUACUCGGAGUUUGGUGUCUUGAACACUGGGCUCUCAAGCUAACGCAUUAAGUAGACCGCCUGGGGAGUACGGCCGCAAGGUUAAAACUCAAAUGAAUUGACGGGGGCCCCCCACAAGA
RNAcentral lists this ribosomal RNA (590 nucleotides) under Shewanella sp. RNAcentral describes it as "bacterial SSU rRNA". It matches the Rfam family "Bacterial small subunit ribosomal RNA", at positions 348 to 930 of the family's 1533-position model. The record is from RNAcentral. Lineage: Bacteria; Pseudomonadati; Pseudomonadota; Gammaproteobacteria; Alteromonadales; Shewanellaceae.